AUGAUCGCUGCUAGAGGAUCACAAAAAAGGGUCUGCCCAAAUUGCAAAGAUGACAACACAAAGCUCGGUGCCACACUAGAAUUACUGCAAUGGAAGGCAGGCAAUGGUGUAUCUGAGAACGGAUUUGGGAAGCUACUGAAAAUAUUGAAGAAGAAGCUUCCAAAGGAUAACGAAUUGCCCGACAGUACAUACAAAGCAAAGAAGUUUCUAUGCUCGCUAGGAUUGGAGGUGCAGAAGAUACAUGCAUGCCCUAAUGACUGCAUCCUCUACCGCGAUGAGUAUGAGGAUUUGAACGCAUGCCCACUAUGCAGUGCAUUGCGGUAUAAGAUCAGAUGA
RNAcentral lists this ribosomal RNA (336 nucleotides) under Triticum aestivum (bread wheat). RNAcentral's name for it is "partial small subunit ribosomal RNA". The record is from RNAcentral. Lineage: Eukaryota; Viridiplantae; Streptophyta; Magnoliopsida; Poales; Poaceae.